GACGAACGCUGGCGGCGUGCUUAACACAUGCAAGUCGAACGGAAAGGCCCUGCUUUUGUGGGGUGCUCGAGUGGCGAACGGGUGAGUAACACGUGAGUAACCUGCCCUUGACUUUGGGAUAACUUCAGGAAACUGGGGCUAAUACCGGAUAGGAGCUCCUGCUGCAUGGUGGGGGUUGGAAAGUUUCGGCGGUUGGGGAUGGACUCGCGGCUUAUCAGCUUGUUGGUGGGGUAGUGGCUUACCAAGGCUUUGACGGGUAGCCGGCCUGAGAGGGUGACCGGCCACAUUGGGAAUGAGAGACGGCCCAGACUCCUACGGGAGGCAGCAGUGGGGAAUAUUGCACAAUGGGCGGAAGCCUGAUGCAGCAACGCCGCGUGCGGGAUGACGGCCUUCGGGUUGUAACCGCUUUCGCCUGUGACGAAGCGUGAGUGACGGUAAUGGGUAAAGAAGCACCGGCUAACUACGUG
RNAcentral lists this ribosomal RNA (467 nucleotides) under uncultured bacterium. Its description in RNAcentral is "partial 16S ribosomal RNA". It matches the Rfam family "Bacterial small subunit ribosomal RNA", at positions 28 to 507 of the family's 1533-position model. The record is from RNAcentral.